This 105-nucleotide transfer RNA is filed under the name Lysobacter yananisis. RNAcentral describes it as "tRNA-OTHER". Lineage: Bacteria; Pseudomonadati; Pseudomonadota; Gammaproteobacteria; Lysobacterales; Lysobacteraceae. The record is from RNAcentral.
GGUACCGUGGUGGAAUCGGCAGACACAUGGGGCGGGUGACGUGGCCACGAAGACCGCGCCCAGGCAUGAAACAUGGCAUGAGGGUUCGACUCCCUCCGGUACGCU